This is an RNA transcript of Lycium barbarum (goji berry), 1721 nucleotides long. It is a transcript of the gene named protein REVEILLE 6, with no coding region annotated. The record is from RefSeq and is a predicted model, not a curated record. NCBI's taxonomy places the organism in Eukaryota, Viridiplantae, Streptophyta, Magnoliopsida, Solanales, Solanaceae. The transcript has 10 exons.
AAAAAAAAAAAAAUACAAAACGCAAAUAGAAAUCAUCAACAUUUUACGUUUGGCAUAGAGAUGAGCUUUACACCUAAGUCCGAACCCGUAAGCCUUAAACAUCACAUGAACCCCAAAUCCACUUCUACUUGGAAUUGAAUCUGAUGGUCAUGGCCCUUCCUAAUCUCGCCUCCUCCUUCUCCAACCCUACCGCCACCGCCACCGCCACCGCCGCCGCCGCCACCGCCACCACCGCCACCACCGCCACCACCGCCGCCGCUUCCGCCCCGUUAUCGCCUUCGGAUGACCCGUCUAAGAAAAUUAGAAAACCCUACACCAUUACAAAGUCACGUGAAAGCUGGACUGAACCUGAGCACGAUAAGUUCCUUGAGGCUCUGCAACUCUUUGACCGUGACUGGAAAAAGAUUGAAGCGUUUGUUGGAUCAAAAACUGUUAUUCAGAUACGUAGCCAUGCUCAAAAAUAUUUUCUGAAGGUCCAGAAGAGUGGAACCAAUGAACGUCUUCCUCCUCCUCGGCCAAAAAGAAAAGCUGCUCAUCCCUACCCACAGAAAGCCUCAAAAAGCGCUCCAGCUGUCUCACCAGUGCCUACAUCUUUUCAAGCUUCCCUUCCGUUACCGGAACCUGGAUUUGUUAAAAGGCCUGAUUCUUCCUUGUUACCUAGCAAUCCAGCUACUGUUGUGUCUGUGCCGUCAUGGACUGACAACUCUGAGCCACCAGUUAGUUUGUCGCAAAUGAAGAAAGAUAACGCGAGCGAAGCAGGUCAGCCAGUCACCAAUAACCGUUGCUGCAGUAGUAAUGAAAGCACUCCAAGAUCAAAAUCAACAGUUGAGGUGACGGAGCGGACUCAAACACCCUCACUGAGAGUUUUGCCUGACUUUGCUCAAGUAUACAAUUUCAUCGGCAGUGUAUUCGACCCUGCUGUUACAGGACACUUGCAGAAAUUGAAAAAAAUGGAUCGCAUUGAUGUUGAGACGGUGUUGUUGCUGAUGAGAAAUCUCUCCAUCAACCUUACGAACCCCGACUUCGAGCAUGAUGACUUGCACUUCCUUCUGAUGAUUGUUCCUGGAGCUUGUACCUCCUGGUGACUUUUCCGUCAAUAUUCCAAUUAUCACUAUAUAAGCUUUUCUGGUAUCAUCCCAGCCAGAGUGCCGUCAUUAACCGGCAGCACCAGUUCAGGGAAGUGUUCGGAUGUUGCAUUAGAUGUAUUAGUUUAAAAUGGGUAAAGUAUUGUAUGUAAAGAGGCAGCUGCUUUCAUCUUAUGAUACAGACAUCGAGAAGCAGUGCAAAUGAAAUCAUCAAUGACAACAAACUUUAAAGUGCUGCUCAGUUUAGUACUUCAUGCUAUGACCUUUGCAUACCAUUCCCGUUUAUUCUUUUGCUCGAGAGUAUUAGUCGUAACCAAUGCCAUAUCGGAGUUGGUCGAGAACAAACGGCAAGUGGAGGACCCACAUGUAAUAAUACCAGAAGCCUUGGUUUGUUCGAUAGCUGCUGCUAUUUCAGAGUCAAAGUUCUUUUGCCUGUGCAGUUCAUAUUUGUGUAUAUACUGUAAGAUAUAAACAGAGAUGAUAGUUGUGAUGAGGGAACUUAAAUAUAUAAAGCUGGGUUUAUGUAAAUUCAAGUUUUGACAAGACUCCAGCCUCUGCGGUACCGGCAAAUUCUUCAUGCCAAUUGUAAAUGCUUCAACAAAUGAGAUCAUUGAUUUUCGCUGGUGCCUGCUUCCU